RNAcentral lists this ribosomal RNA (497 nucleotides) under uncultured bacterium. Its description in RNAcentral is "partial 16S ribosomal RNA". It matches the Rfam family "Bacterial small subunit ribosomal RNA", at positions 28 to 507 of the family's 1533-position model. The record is from RNAcentral.
GAUGAACGCUGGCGGCGUGCCUAAUACAUGCAAGUCGAGCGAACAGAUGAGGAGCUUGCUCCUCUGACGUUAGCGGCGGAUGGGUGAGUAACACGUGGAUAACCUACCUAUAAGACUGGGAUAACUUCGGGAAACCGGAGCUAAUACCGGAUAAUAUAUUGAACCGCAUGGUUCAAUAGUGAAAGACGGUUUUGCUGUCACUUAUAGAUGGAUCCGCGCCGCAUUAGCUAGUUGGUAAGGUAACGGCUUACCAAGGCAACGAUGCGUAGCCGACCUGAGAGGGUGGUCGGCCACACUGGAACUGAAGCACGGGCCAGACUCCUACGGGAAGCAGCAGUAGGGAAUCUUCCGCAAUGGGCGGAAGCCUGGCGGAGCAACGCCGCGUGAGUGAUGAAAGUCUUCGGAUCGUAAAACUCUGUUAUUGGGGAAGAACAAAUGUGUAAGUAACUAUGCACGUCUUGACGGUACCUAAUCAGAAAGCCACGGCUAACUACGUG